This 823-nucleotide long non-coding RNA is filed under the name Helianthus annuus (common sunflower). Its description in RNAcentral is "hypothetical non coding rna". The record is from RNAcentral. Lineage: Eukaryota; Viridiplantae; Streptophyta; Magnoliopsida; Asterales; Asteraceae.
GUUAUAACUUAAUUCUAGUUGAUGAAGUUUGUGAUACCCUUAUCUAGUUGGGUUCUUGUUCAUAUCAAGAUACAUCUAUUUAACUCAAACCAAUCAUUUACCUUUGUUUUGACUGCCAGCUUGGACAAGCUCUUAGCAUAAACCAGUUAUCGAGGAUUGCUUAGGUUUCAGAUUUAGUGUGAUAGCGUGGCUCCUAUUCAGCCUCCUUUUGCUCGACUCGUGACACCUGGGUUUCGGAUUUAUUCCUUGAAGCUGGACACUAACGAUUGUCAAAAAUCCAUGUGGAGCUAAGGUAAUUGAUGAGAAGAUUCAGUCCUUUAAUUUAUAAAAAAAUUAAGGCAGAGAUUAAAAGCCACGGAUUCACAACAGGCAGGGGUUAAUGUUCUAGUAGCUGGAUACUUAACUGGGAAAUAUAAGGAGGUCGGAUGUUUAUUUGGGAAAGAUAAUGUGAACGGUCACGCCUCGAGGAAGAAGUUGUGGAUGAACAUGUUCCUGUUCAGCCAAGUCUAAAUGAAACAUAAUGUGAAAUAUAAGGAGGUCGGAUGCUUAUUUGGGAAACAUAAUAUGAACGGUCACACCUCGAGGAAGAAGUUGUGGAUGAACGUGUUCCUGUUCAGCCAAGUCCAAAUGAAACAUGCCUUUAUCCAAAACUAGAUCAUUCUGCAACCCAAGAGGAAAAGAAAUCGUAUGCUUUAACUGUGUGAUUAUGUUAACUAAACGUUCUACAUACACUUUAUUUUAUGUAUAAGCAUUUGGUAAAAUUGACUCGAUUUAUGUAUUUAUGUGAUGUGAUUUUAUAUAUAUUUAGUGAUUUUUAUGAGUA